AGUCUGUCGCUCGUUUAUACGGGAGGAAAGUCCGGGCAACGCAGAGCUCCAUACUUCUUAACGGGAAGUUGUCAGCGAUGGCAAAGUAGUGUAACAGAAAAUAACCGCUUUGGCUUCGGUCAGAGUAAGGGUGAAAAGGUGAGGUAAGAGCUCACCGGUCAUAAUGGUAACAUUGUGAGCCGUACGCCUUAUGGGUUGUAAGGUCAUGUAUACCGGCAAUUAAGGAUUGCUCGUCCGAUGCCGGGGGGUAGACCGCUAGAGCUUCAUGGUGACAUGAAGUCGAGACAAAUGACAGACGCCUUUUUCGAAAGGUACAGAACCCGGCUUACAGGCCUGCUGUU
RNAcentral lists this RNase P RNA (341 nucleotides) under fish gut metagenome. RNAcentral's name for it is "Bacterial RNase P class A". It matches the Rfam family "Bacterial RNase P class A". From Rfam's summary of the family: Ribonuclease P (RNase P) is a ubiquitous endoribonuclease, found in archaea, bacteria and eukarya as well as chloroplasts and mitochondria. The record is from RNAcentral.